CCGCGGUAUCCUGACCGUGCGAAGGUAGCAUAAUCACUUGUUCUCUAAAUAGGGACUAGUAUGAAAGGCACCACGAGGGCUUUACUGUCUCCUUUCUCCAAUCAGUGAAACUGAUCUCCCUGUGAAAAAGCAGGAAUAUUGAUAUAAGACGAGAAGACCCCAUGGAGCUUUAAACCCAAUGACACCCCAAACACUCCCAACCCCUUAGAGUUUUAUAAGUACUGUCCAUUGGUUUUAGGUUGGGGUGACCGCGGAGAACAAAAUAACCUCCAUGACGAACGGGACUAACCCCUAAUCCAAGAGCCACAGCUCUAAGAAUUAACAUAUUAACGUUAACUGAUCCAAUCAAUUGAUCAACGAACCAAGUUACCCUGGGGAUAACAGCGCAAUCCAUUUCUAGAGCCCCUAUCAAAAAAUGGGUUUACGACCUCGAUGUUGGAUCAGGGUACCCAGGUGGUGCAGCCGCUACCAAUGGUUUGUUUGUUCAACAAUUAAAACCCUACGUGAUCUGAGUUC
This 516-nucleotide ribosomal RNA is filed under the name Phrynoderma karaavali. Its description in RNAcentral is "partial large subunit ribosomal RNA". It matches the Rfam family "Bacterial large subunit ribosomal RNA", at positions 1931 to 2612 of the family's 2925-position model. The record is from RNAcentral. Lineage: Eukaryota; Metazoa; Chordata; Amphibia; Anura; Dicroglossidae.